GCAAACUUGGUCAUUUAGAGGAAGUAAAAGUCGUAACAAGGUUUCCGUAGGUGAACCUGCGGAAGGAUCAUUAACGAGUUAGGGUCUUCUAGGCCCGACCUCCCAACCCUUUGCUUACUUGACCAUUGUUGCUUCGGCGAGCCCGUCUUUACUGACCGCCGGAGGACCGUAGAACGUCCUCUGGUCCGUGCUCGUCGGUGGCCAACUCUAAAUUCUUAACUAAACGUGUCAUUAUCUAAGUACUAUUGUUAAUAAAAGCAAAACUUUCAACAACGGAUCUCUUGGUUCUGGCAUCGAUGAAGAACGCAGC
Molecule: unclassified non-coding RNA, 310 nt
Filed under: uncultured fungus
Lineage: Eukaryota; Fungi
Description: partial contains small subunit ribosomal RNA, internal transcribed spacer 1, and 5.8S ribosomal RNA
Rfam family: Eukaryotic small subunit ribosomal RNA (bases 1-73)
Source: RNAcentral